Molecule: ribosomal RNA, 451 nt
Filed under: uncultured bacterium
Lineage: Bacteria
Description: partial 16S ribosomal RNA
Rfam family: Bacterial small subunit ribosomal RNA
Source: RNAcentral
AUUUCAUUUCGGUGGGAUGGUUAGUGGCGAACGGGUGAGUAACGCGUAGACAACCUACCUCUUAGAUGGGGACAACAUCGCGAAAGCGGUGCUAAUACCGAAUGAAGUGACUUCCCUGCAUGGGAGAGAUACUAAAGGUGGCCUCUAUUUAUAAGCUACCACUGAGAGAUGGGUCUGCGUCUGAUUAGCUUGUUGGUGAGGUAAUGGCUCACUAAGGCGACGAUCAGUAGCUGGUUUGAGAGGACGACCAGCCACACUGUGACUGAGACACGGCCCAGACUCCUACGGGAGGCAGCAGUGGGGAAUUUUCCGCAAUGGGCGAAAGCCUGACGGAGCAAUACCGCGUGAGGGAUGAAAGCCUGUGGGUUGUAAACCUCUUUUCUCAAGGAGGAAAUUUUGACGGUACUUGAGGAAUAAGCAUCGGCUAACUCUGUGCCAGCCGCCGCCGUAA